GGGGGGUGGGGGACGGACACAGCACACCGCAGGGCAGGCUUCCCGCUUGGAAGGGGGGGUGGGGGACGGACACAGCACACCGCAGGGCAGGUUUCCCGCUUGGAAGGGGGGUGGGGGACGGACACAGCACACCGCAGGGCAGGUUUCCCGCUUGGAAGGGGGG
Molecule: long non-coding RNA, 163 nt
Organism: Gopherus flavomarginatus (Mexican gopher tortoise)
Lineage: Eukaryota; Metazoa; Chordata; Testudines; Testudinidae
Exons: 3
Source: RefSeq, a predicted model, not a curated record